UGAGCAACAGACACACACACACACUCUUUAUCUCUCUCUCUCUCUCUUCGGGCUCGAGACAGCUGACUGUCCGCCUCUGCGACGGGCACGAACCCGAACCGUGAGACCCUCGAGCGAUAUAUAUAGAUAUAUAUAUAUUUUUUUAGGUUUAUUCGCCGGUUCUUAGUUGCCGGAACCCAAACUGAGACUUUACACAAGACGAAGUCGUCGCCAGGGAUCGUAAUAAAUCAGCGAAACGGACCAACGCGCUGGAACAGACGAGCUUGUGGGACGCCUCAGCUCGGCCGCGCGCGAACGAAAUCCCGCGCGCGCCUGUCAGUUUGACACUUAUGAAGUCGUCGUCAUGGCAACAGAGCGAACAGUGACGAGGCGCGAUAUAAAGGGGGGUGGAGGGGGGGGGCGUUAAUGGCUCUUCAGAGAAGCUCUGUCAGGCUUUGAAUGACACGAAAUGAGAGAGAAGAAAAAAAACAUGAGACGAGAACAAAUGAAGCGAAAUACUAACUGUACGCGUGUGGACAAACGCAUCAAUGCAAGCCCCCUCCCCCAACCCCACCUCAUGCUGUAAUGGAAUAUCGAGGGAAACGUGAGCAACUGAAUAGGGCCCCAUUCCUAUAUUUUGCCUAGGGCCCCCAAAUCACAAAGUCCACCCCUGUGUGCACGAGUUCGGGAACUGAGAAUUGCCAUCAUGUUCUCCCACACUCACCAGCCUUCUCCGCCACUUCAGCAUUUGACAGGUUCUGGCUGUUCGGGCGAACUUGGAACGUGAGAGCCGGACCUACCACGCUGCAAACAGAAGUUAACAGUCAUGCACCCAAAACAAGCACAAGCUACAGAAACACAGGGGAUAUGAGGGAGGAGGUUAGUGGCAGAGUCAAGGAUCAAGGGGUUAGGGUGCCUCAGAGAUGAGCUUGAUUCAUGCCAUUCAUUCUUUGCCACCACAUGAUUCUCCACCAUACUGGGGACCCCAGGUUAGGCCUCCACCUCACCACAGGUUGGGCUCGGGAUUCAAAAGGUUCAGAGGGUCACGGUUAGGGGAUUGUGCUGAGUCAUGAACUAAAGAGUUUGAAACAUAAAUAAGCCUCAUACGCAAAAUGUUUGCAUAUGAGUCUUAUACAUUAGGUUUAGACUUGGUUCUGUUCAAGCAAAAAUGGCUCAUUUAAUAUUUUUACUAACAGUGGAAAAAAAUCAUAAAAGUGAUUUGUUUCCUUACAUAAAAAUUCUUGUGCAUGGCUAAGUUGUUCUAGUGAACAUGCAAAUCCAUUUGCAAAAAAUCAUGUUUAUAUUACAUUGGCAAUGCUCACAUCUUUUUUGACCUGAGAGCAACAAUGCUCAAAUAAAGGGCUGAAAAUAUGGACUGUUGAAAAUACGAAACAAAACAGUGAUUUUAAAUGAGAGCUGUCUUGUAUCUGCAUACACAAUUGCAAGUGGUGAUCUUUUGUGUGUCUAUUUAUAUUAAUAUAGUUUAUACUGUUGACAAUCAAAAUCAAGCCUAGACAUAUUGGGUACUAUAAAAAAAAACUUCAUUGCAAUAAAAUUAAAUUAGGUGCCCAGAGUCAAUGAAGACAACAUAAGGCUCUAUUUCAUGGGCUUGGGAUUUUCCUGACAUUGUGACUGACAUUACCUGAUGUUGAUAAAAGAGCCAAUGGUGAGAUGGAUCCUCUUAGUCAGGGCCACCAAAAGAUGAACGCCAUCAAACAGAGAGAGGGGACUGCAGAGACACACAUUGACGUGCCACAUACAAAUACAGGCACCACGAAAUACAUAAAAACCCACAAACACAGACAAAUAGUCCACCCAAUGUGAAGGGUUUGAUGCCAUUAAGAAGAAUGGGAUGGAUGAAUGGAAAAUGUGCAAUGAGUUACUCAAACACUUUGCAGAUGAACAUAUGUGGCAAUGG
Molecule: long non-coding RNA, 1897 nt
Organism: Pangasianodon hypophthalmus (striped catfish)
Lineage: Eukaryota; Metazoa; Chordata; Actinopteri; Siluriformes; Pangasiidae
Exons: 3
Source: RefSeq, a predicted model, not a curated record